Molecule: ribosomal RNA, 429 nt
Filed under: Bacteroidota bacterium
Lineage: Bacteria; Pseudomonadati; Bacteroidota
Description: Bacteroidetes bacterium partial 16S ribosomal RNA
Rfam family: Bacterial small subunit ribosomal RNA
Source: RNAcentral
UAGGGAAUCUUCCGCAAUGGACGCAAGUCUGACGGAGCAACGCCGCGUGAGUGAAGAAGGAUUUCGGUUCGUAAAACUCUGUUGUUAGAGAAGAACAGCGCAUAGAGUAACUGUUAUGCGUGUGACGGUAUCUAACCAGAAAGCCACGGCUAACUACGUGCCAGCAGCCGCGGUAAUACGUAGGUGGCAAGCGUUGUCCGGAUUUAUUGGGCGUAAAGCGAGCGCAGGCGGUCAAUUAAGUCUGAUGUGAAAGCCCCCGGCUCAACCGGGGAGGGUCAUUGGAAACUGGUUGACUUGAGUGCAGAAGAGGAGAGUGGAAUUCCAUGUGUAGCGGUGAAAUGCGUAGAUAUAUGGAGGAACACCAGUGGCGAAGGCGACUCCCUGGUCUGUAACUGACGCUGAGGCUCGAAAGCGUGGGUAGCAAACAGG